Molecule: long non-coding RNA, 2387 nt
Filed under: Gallus gallus (chicken)
Lineage: Eukaryota; Metazoa; Chordata; Aves; Galliformes; Phasianidae
Description: long non-coding RNA NONGGAT001425
Source: RNAcentral
UAUGGUAAGACCUCUUUAUGUUCUCCCAUGUACUCCUGUGCUUUCUUGAGCAAUGCAGUCGGUGUGACAAAAUGCCAUGAAUUAGCCAUAGUCGGACAGCUUUCUCUUGGCUGCACCGUGCAGCUGGGGAAGUUUGCACUGAUGGGUCUUCAGCUGGUGGUGUGCACAUGCCAGAGAGAGAGCACCUGCGGUUUCCCCGUGCCUGAUUCAUCCUCUUCAUGUUUCCUCCUUUCCUCCACGCUUGGUCUUCCUACCGGUAGAGUCCUUGAGGAACCAAUCACCUCUAAGGUUUGUUAGAAAAAUCUCGUGUCUCGUUCUCCAUUUCACUUCAUGCAUUAUCUCCAAGCUAAUCAGCGGAAGCCUAAUGAGUAGACAGCGUGAGUGGGGUUCACCCACCGUGCGCAGUGCUUGGAAUUAGGCAAACUUGUGGAAUCACUGUACCCUCAGUAGAAGGGAGGCACUUGGCAUAAUUCAUCUAAAUUAAUAUCCCUUUAACCAGACCAUCUGUGUGUUAAGGAAGAGCCUUCCAGCAUUGGCUGGAGCUUUGUUGUGGGGCUGCUCACCCUUGGCAUGUGUGUUUGGCUAACCAAUGGGAAAGCAAUUAGCAGCCCACUUUGUGAUUCCUGGUAUUUGUUUGAGUUUGGAUUCCAUUGCUCUUGCUUUCUAUAUUGUAUACCCAAGAAUUCAGGCUUGGUCAUGAGCUCUCAAAUAUAAAAAAUAUAUAGCUUCAUCAUGCCUGGCUUUUUUGUUUUCCUCCCUGGUCUGUGCUUUCUUUUGAACCAAUGACCUCCUCUCACUCCUAACAUCACCAUAAGGCUAGUCUAAAUUAACUUCUUAAAAUGUGGAUAUGUAUAAUCUCAACUAUCUGUUGUCAAAGAAAGAUGUGUACGUGAGAACCAGUAUACACAAUAGCACCAUUCUAGAAUAUACAUUUUCCAGAUAACACUUUAAUGACUGUAUUAAAACUAUAUUCACAUUUCUUCUGUUGGCUUUAACAGUUGUGUCUAUCACUGAGUUGUUGGAUUGGGUUGUGCCUACCACUGAGUUGUUGGAUUGGGCUGUGCCUACCAUUGAGUUGUUGGAUUGGGCUGUGCCUAACAUAAAUUGUUGGAUUGGGUUGUGUCUACCAUUGAGUUGUUGGAUUGGGUUGUGCCUACCAUGAAUUGUUGGAUUGGGUUAUGCCUACCAUGAAUUGUUGGAUUGGGUUGUGCCUACCAUUGAGUUGUUGGAUUGGGUUGUGCCUACUGUUGAGUUGUUGGAUUGGGUUGUGCCUACUGUUGAGUUGUUGGAUUGGGCUGUGCCUACCGUUGAGUUGUUGGAUUGGGUUGUGCCUACCAUUGAGUUGUUGGAUUGAGCCUUUCUGCUGAAUCAUUUCUCUGCUCUGUCCCAGUGAGGUGGAGGCACUCAGAAGCGGAGACCUUGUUUUUGUAAUGCAUUGUUGCAAUCUCAGGCAAGAAUUUGGACACGCUCAUGAAUAUCUUCUCCCCUGAAUAAACUCUUCUGUUGAAAUCUUGUGAAAAAUGUCCAUAAAGGCUUAAAGCACUGCCCUCAUCUUUGAGAAAAAAUAGGUAGGGAAUUUCCACUGUACUUUGGUGCGUUGAGAGCCAGAAUUGAAUACCUGAAGCCAGCACAGCGUGUCCUUCUUGAGGUGGGCAGAAGAUCCUCUAUCUGUUCCUUGCUACCUUCUGUUAGCAGUUCAAUUUUAGCCAAAAUUCAGUACUGUUGAGUCAGUUGGGCACAUGGAGGGGUGAAAUCCGGCACAGUUGAAGUAGCACAGAGUGGAUUGCAGUCAUACUAAUUUUCCUUUAUCACAACGACAGUAGUUUGUGUAUGGUGGUGACUUUUCAGAGCAACCCAAAGAGUAGUUGUGAAGUCGCAGUGUUUCAUAGGCAAACACAGAGUAUCUCAGAGCAAUUAGGUGACAUGUAAUUAGGUUUGUAGAGCACCAGUGGGACUUCAGAUUUUGUUCAUUAGUUGCACAUUUUCUCAGGUGGAACCCAACCAAAUGAAGUUUAUUUUUCUCGCAUUGCUGUUCCCGUUGGAGCCCUGGAAUUGUUAAUGUGUCAAAUACAACAGUUGGUUUCUGCAUCUGUGUCACAUAGCUUCUUUGGGCUUUCUAUGGAUAUAGACCCUAAAUUGCUCCCAGGCUUAUUUGCCAUUUUUACCACUUUUAUAUAGAAGAUGUGAAGGGGGGGACACGACGUUGUAGGGCUAAUUAAGGCAUCGACCAACAUCUUUGCUACGGAGGAUGGGAGGACUGUACAGACUGCAGCUUCUUUUUGUGAUUUUAUUUUCUUCCCCAGUAAAUGACUUUGAAAACAGCAUCGUGGGAGGGAAACAAAGAGCAAGUUGGAAGCCCGGGUUGAACCAGCGUGUCCUUCCCGGCC